RNAcentral lists this ribosomal RNA (499 nucleotides) under Neolasioptera vernoniae. RNAcentral describes it as "partial large subunit ribosomal RNA". The record is from RNAcentral. Lineage: Eukaryota; Metazoa; Arthropoda; Insecta; Diptera; Cecidomyiidae.
CGCCUGUUUAUUAAAAACAUAGUUUAUUAAAAUUUUUAAAAAAUAAAUUCUGCCAAUUGAAUGAAUUUUAAAAGGCCGCAGUAUUUUGACUGUGCUAAGGUAGCAUAAUAAUUAGAUUUUUAAUUGAAAUCUAGAAUGAAAGGUUUAAUGAAAUAAAUACUUUUUUAUUUUAAUAAAUUAAAUUUUAUUUUUUAGUUAAAAAGCUAAAAUUUUUAAAAGGGACGAGAAGACCCUAUAGAAUUUUAUAAUAAAAAAAUUAUUUUUAAUUAAUUAAUUUUUAUUUAAUUUUUUUUAAUUAUUUUAUUGGGGUGAUAAUUAAAUUUAUUUAACUUUUAUUAUUUUUAUCAUUUAUAAAUGUUUUUUUGAUCUUUUUUUAUUGAUUAAAAAUAUAAAUUACCUUAGGGAUAACAGCAUAAUUUUAUUUUAAAGUUCUUAUUUUUAAUAAUGUUUAUGACCUCGAUGUUGGAUUAAAUUUAUUUUUAUAUGAAGAAAUAUAAAU